Molecule: long non-coding RNA, 483 nt
Organism: Armigeres subalbatus
Lineage: Eukaryota; Metazoa; Arthropoda; Insecta; Diptera; Culicidae
Exons: 2
Source: RefSeq, a predicted model, not a curated record
AUGAUUAAACCUAAAAAGAAUAUUGUUGAUUUCAACAAUAGCUCUAUUAUUGCAUCAAAAAUAUAUGAUUGUGGAAACUACAAUAUUUUAUUGUUAAAGCAACAAUAGUAUUUUCAUUUCAACAAUAUUUCUUUUUGUUUUGAAACUGCCUGAUUACGAAGCAGUGUGUUUAUUUUUAUGUGUUCUUUCUGACGCUAGAAUUUAAAAAAAGUAGAAAAACCUUUUGCGAGAAUAGUUUUCAAAAUCGAAGUGGAAGGUGGAAAGCUCACAAAAUUUAUUCGAAGCCACAGAAUUUGUGAAAUCAACAACAAUAAAUCUCGCAAAAACAUAGUCAUAUGUCGCGUUUCCAAGUGAUGCAUUUUCAGCCAUUAUGAUAAUUGGCAUGUUCGGCUAUUUCCCCCCUACUGAAGUAGCGAUGAAAUGUUGUGUAAAUUACUGUAAUAUUAUAAAAAUAAAAUGAAAAAAACCCUUAAUAAAACCUAA